AACGCUAGCUACAGGCUUAACACAUGCAAGUCGAGGGGCAUCAGGGUAGCAAUACCGCUGGCGACCGGCGCACGGGUGAGUAACACGUAUCCAACCUACCGUUAACUCGGGGAUAGCCUUUCGAAAGAAAGAUUAAUACCCGAUAGUAUAUUUUCUUCGCAUGUUGAAAAUAUUAAAGAAUUUCGGUUAUCGAUGGGGAUGCGUUCCAUUAGGCAGUUGGCGGGGUAACGGCCCACCAAACCUACGAUGGAUAGGGGUUCUGAGAGGAAGGUUCCCCACAUUGGAACUGAGACACGGUCCAAACUCCUACGGGAGGCAGCAGUGAGGAAUAUUGGUCAAUGGACGAAGGUCUGAACCAGCCAAGUAGCGUGAAGGAUGACUGCCCUAUGGGUUGUAAACUUCUUUUAUAUGGGAAUAAAGUUCUCCACGUGUGGAGUUUUGUAUGUACCAUUAUGAAUAAGCAUCGGCUAACUCCGUGCCAGCAGCCGCGGUAAUACGGAGGAUGCGAGCGUUAUCCGGAUUUAUUGGGUUUAAAGGGAGCGUAGGUGGACUGGUAAGUCAGUUGUGAAAGUUUGCGGCUCAACCGUAAAAUUGCAGUUGAUACUGUCAGUCUUGAGUACAGUAGAGGUGGGCGGAAUUCGUGGUGUAGCGGUGAAAUGCUUAGAUAUCACGAAGAACUCCGAUUG
This 686-nucleotide ribosomal RNA is filed under the name uncultured bacterium. Its description in RNAcentral is "bacterial SSU rRNA". It matches the Rfam family "Bacterial small subunit ribosomal RNA", at positions 32 to 715 of the family's 1533-position model. The record is from RNAcentral.